CCCCCUGCCCCCGCCUCCGCCCGCCGGGACUGCCUCCUCCCCGAGCUGUCAACAAAGGAGAAUCAGGUUUGGCUUGGGGUGGCCGUCUGGCUGCCCGUCCUGCGCCCAGCUCAGCCCGGACCUGCCGGCCACCUUAAGUGGCCAAAGGGGCAAUGAAAAUCUGCCAGGGCCUGGGGAUUCCGGUGGAGGCCUUGUGAGCUCAGGUGGUUUAGCCCCCACUGCGAGGAGCUCAGGACUGAAGCCAAGUGGGGUGUGUGUGUUUAACAAUGAGAGUCAGCCCAGAGGAAAGAAAUUGCCAGAGCGAGCAAAUCUCCACUAGCUUGUCACCUCUGCCCUGCUCAACACCACGUAGGUGGCCACGCCUGCCUUUCAAAAUAAUGGGAUAAUUGGGUGCAAUGUGUGUCACCCCCACCCCUUGGAGAGAGGCUGCCAGACCGUCUUUGUGGGAACCCACAGGGAGCAAGGGGAGAAAGAAAGACAAGAACGAUAGCAGAAGAAUUUCUUCUUGCCUCUAACUGCCGGCUCUUCAGGGACAGAACAGUACACUCUCCCUCCGUCUGCCCCCAGCCUCAGACUUCUAUUUCCUGACUGGUGUGUGGAGUCCCUAACACAGCGACCAGGCGCUCCAAGGGGCUGGAGCACGUGUGUGCUGGAAAAGAUGAGGAGGGCUAACCCUGCCUUGGGGGUCUGUCUCUGGGCUGUCAUAAGGCAGA
Suricata suricatta (meerkat) is the source of this 713-nucleotide long non-coding RNA. RefSeq lists it as uncharacterized. The transcript has 3 exons. The record is from RefSeq and is a predicted model, not a curated record. Lineage: Eukaryota; Metazoa; Chordata; Mammalia; Carnivora; Herpestidae.